AGAGUUUGAUCCUGGCUCAGGACGAACGCUGGCGGCGUGCUUAACACAUGCAAGUCGAACGGAAAGGCCCUUCGGGGUGCUCGAGUGGCGAACGGGUGAGUAACACGUGGGUGAUCUGCCCUGCACUUUGGGAUAAGCCUGGGAAACUGGGUCUAAUACCGAAUAGGACUGCGCUCUUCAUGGGGUGUGGUGGAAAGCUUUUGCGGUGUGGGAUGGGCCCGCGGCCUAUCAGCUUGUUGGUGGGGUAAUGGCCUACCAAGGCGACGACGGGUAGCCGGCCUGAGAGGGUGACCGGCCACACUGGGACUGAGAUACGGCCCAGACUCCUACGGGAGGCAGCAGUGGGGAAUAUUGCACAAUGGGCGCAAGCCUGAUGCAGCGACGCCGCGUGAGGGAUGACGGCCUUCGGGUUGUAAACCUCUUUCAGCACAGACGAAGCGCGAGUGACGGUAUGUGCAGAAGAAGGACCGGCCAACUACGUGCCAGCAGCCGCGGUAAUACGUAGGGUCCGAGCGUUGUCCGGAAUUACUGGGCGUAAAGAGCUCGUAGGUGGUUUGUCGCGUUGUUCGUGAAAACUCACAGCUUAACUGUGGGCGUGCGGGCGAUACGGGCAGACUGGAGUACUGCGGGGGAGACUGGAAUUCCUGGUGUAGCGGUGGAAUGCGCAGAUAUCAGGAGGAACACCGGUGGCGAAGGCGGGUCUCUGGGCAGUAACUGACGCUGAGGAGCGAAAGCGUGGGGAGCGAACAGGAUUAGAUACCCUGGUAGUCC
Molecule: ribosomal RNA, 771 nt
Filed under: uncultured bacterium
Lineage: Bacteria
Description: bacterial SSU rRNA
Rfam family: Bacterial small subunit ribosomal RNA
Source: RNAcentral